RNAcentral lists this ribosomal RNA (685 nucleotides) under Escherichia coli. RNAcentral describes it as "bacterial SSU rRNA". It matches the Rfam family "Bacterial small subunit ribosomal RNA", at positions 97 to 778 of the family's 1533-position model. Lineage: Bacteria; Pseudomonadati; Pseudomonadota; Gammaproteobacteria; Enterobacterales; Enterobacteriaceae. The record is from RNAcentral.
GGCGGACGGGUGAGUAAUGUCUGGGAAACUGCCUGAUGGAGGGGGAUAACUACUGGAAACGGUAGCUAAUACCGCAUAACGUCGCAAGACCAAAGAGGGGGACCUUCGGGCCUCUUGCCAUCGGAUGUGCCCAGAUGGGAUUAGCUAGUAGGUGGGGUAACGGCUCACCUAGGCGACGAUCCCUAGCUGGUCUGAGAGGAUGACCAGCCACACUGGAACUGAGACACGGUCCAGACUCCUACGGGAGGCAGCAGUGGGGAAUAUUGCACAAUGGGCGCAAGCCUGAUGCAGCCAUGCCGCGUGUAUGAAGAAGGCCUUCGGGUUGUAAAGUACUUUCAGCGGGGAGGAAGGGAGUAAAGUUAAUACCUUUGCUCAUUGACGUUACCCGCAGAAGAAGCACCGGCUAACUCCGUGCCAGCAGCCGCGGUAAUACGGAGGGUGCAAGCGUUAAUCGGAAUUACUGGGCGUAAAGCGCACGCAGGCGGUUUGUUAAGUCAGAUGUGAAAUCCCCGGGCUCAACCUGGGAACUGCAUCUGAUACUGGCAAGCUUGAGUCUCGUAGAGGGGGGUAGAAUUCCAGGUGUAGCGGUGAAAUGCGUAGAGAUCUGGAGGAAUACCGGUGGCGAAGGCGGCCCCCUGGACGAAGACUGACGCUCAGGUGCGAAAGCGUGGGGAGCAAACAGGAU